GCAAGGAAGGCCUCAGUCAGUAGAACAUGAGACUCUUAAUCUCAGGGUUGUGGGUUUGAGCCCCAUGCUGGGCA
Podarcis lilfordi (Lilford's wall lizard) is the source of this 74-nucleotide non-coding RNA. Lineage: Eukaryota; Metazoa; Chordata; Lepidosauria; Squamata; Lacertidae. The record is from the annotation of a GenBank genome assembly.